This is a long non-coding RNA of Mytilus trossulus (common blue mussel), 1200 nucleotides long. RefSeq lists it as uncharacterized. The record is from RefSeq and is a predicted model, not a curated record. Lineage: Eukaryota; Metazoa; Mollusca; Bivalvia; Mytilida; Mytilidae. The transcript has 3 exons.
GAUUUUCUUUUUAUCAGAUACGGAAUAAAGAAAUUGCUGUUGAGCAAGAGAGGAGUUUCUGUGACGAGAUUGAUACACAUAGAGCAUUUGAGUGUAAUGAAGUUGUGAGUAGUAUUUUAACCAAAAGAACAUCUACCCUAACAACAGUGAAGAUUAAAGCGACCAGUUGCUGUAUGGUGAUAUUGAAAGAAAUCCAGGACCUACAAUGGUUUAUGAAGACUUCUUAGAGCUUGCCAUAUAAGUGUCAACAAUUUUAAAGAACAGAGAAGACUAUUAUUGCACUUAGUUUUGAGUUUUUGUUUUAUAUUUUACCACUAUGAUAGACUAAUGUUAAAUUCAGGAAUUGUAUUUUUCUGAUAUAUCUGUUUUGUAAUUACGUUUUACUCAUUUUUAAAUACGUUUGAGACGGGUUUUUUAUACCUUUUCCUACUUGAGUAGCAUUGACAACUAUUUUAAGUUUUUAGUAAGGUUACUUUCUUUGGGUUUUGUAUUUUAUAAUAUUAAGAUGUCAUACUUGAAUACCUUGUAGUUAUGAACUGUGUAUUUUACUUCUUGAUUCUUUGAUAUGUGUAGUAUUAUUCUCCCCCCCCCCCUCCAAUUAUAUUUAGUUUUGUAAAAUAUAUUUUCCAUAAGGCCUGUCAACAAUGGAUGCCUCUCUAGAUAAAGGUUAAAUAAUCUUGGCACACAUUAAAUAUGAAUUUCAAAAGAAAAAAAUAUGAAUGAAGACUCCAUACAAAACUACUUUGGAAAGUAUCACUCCAGUGAUUCUUCUGGUAAAAUUCAGGUAUGCUCUAAUUCUCAGUUUUCAUUGGGAACUUUCUUCAUUGCAUAGAGGAUGCUUUAUCAUCUGUUUUAUUACACCUAACAAUGCAAGUGUUAAAUGUUGGGAAUACAGAAAGACAGACAUAAUGAUUAUGAUAAGUUAACAAAUAAUUUUACUUCAAAUAUAAUGAAUAUUUAAACUGGAAUUGACUAUUCACAUGUUAUGCUCAUUGAUUGUUGACAUUAUGUGUUGAAAAACAGAAAUAAGUCAAAAGAAUUACAAGACAGAAAGUCCAAAAGUCACAAUUUAUCAAUUGAUAAUAAAUUUGUUUGCUCUAUAAUAGAAUAGAAUGUUUCUAAAAAUGUCGAUUGAAUUAGUCUUUCUAUAAAAAAAAAAUCUCUCCAAACCACAUUGUGACCUCUUUUUAUAUAUGAUUU